Molecule: small RNA, 2139 nt
Filed under: Caenorhabditis elegans
Lineage: Eukaryota; Metazoa; Nematoda; Chromadorea; Rhabditida; Rhabditidae
Description: Unclassified non-coding RNA Y54F10AL.7
Source: RNAcentral
GUUGCUACCAAAAAUCGUCACAAUUAUGGCCGAGCACUGGACAUCCGUACAAUCAACUCGGUAUUGUGGUAUAUUACUCGGUGAGUAUUAAUUUUUUGCGAAAAAAAAUUAUUUAUUGAUUUUUUUUGUUAAUUUCAAAAAAUUUUCCAAAAAAAAGCACAUGGUCAGCUGGGUAAAAACAAAAUAGGCUCAAAAUUUGGAAAAAUCUAGAAAAAUUGAAAAAAACAUUUUUUUUUGAAAUUUUUGAAAUUUUUCACAAAUUGUUUCCAAACCGAAUUUAAAUAUUUUUAAUGCAAAAUUAAAGUAUUUUACAAUUAAAAAUCUCUGCGAUAUUUUUUGAUAGAAAAAAUGUUUUAAAUUAAAACAAUUCGGACGUACUUAUGACACAUUUUUCCAACAAUGAAAAUUUCCAAAAAAAAAACUCUAAAAACUGCGUUUCAACCCAAUUCUGAGUCAUUUUUAUUCAAAAAUUCGAAUUUCCAGCAGAAUUUCGAGCUAGAAAACGUUUUUUGUCAGAAACAAAUUUUUGGCCAAAAAAAAAUUCUGAAAAAAAAAAUUUCAAAAAAAAAAAACUUUUUUUUCAAAAAAUAUUAUUUCACAAAAACUCAAUUUAGGUUUUUUUUGGGCUAUUUUUUAUGCAAAUAUUUGAAUUUCCCGCAAAAUUUCGAGCUAGAAUCGUUUUUUUUUGUCAAAAAAAAUUUUAAACAAAAAAUUUUUUUUUCAAAAAUUUUCAAAUUUCCCCCCCCCAAAAAAUUCGGCCCAAAACUCUAGUUUUUGCCCCAUUCAGAUGCUGUACCGUAGUGCGCGACGUGCCCGUCUUGUGCCAGUCGACGUGUUGUCAAGGCAACGACAGGUAUUACCUUCCCCCGCCCCCCCCCCCCCCGCACUUUUUUUCCAAUUUUUCUAACAUUUUUUCCGUCAUUUUUCGUAUUUUUCACUUAACCCCAUUUUGAAUUUUCACAAUUUUCAAAAAAAAAGUUUUAUUACACAUUCGUCGAAAAAAUCUGCUAAACUUUUCUGCGAAUGUGUAAUAUUUCAAACUUUUGGGCUAUGUUUUUACCCCUCUGACACGUGUCUUUUUAUGGUGAUGGUUUUUCGUUUAAAGAUGCAUAUAUAUAUGACUAACCUUCUUUGCUUGGUGAUUCGGAACUAUUAAAAUUUUAACAAAAACACCAAAAAACUUGAAUUUUUCGCUUUAAGCUUCUUAAUUUUAAAAUAAAAGUCUGAAAAUCAAAUUUUCCACGCUGAGACCUUUUAAAUGACCCCCAUAUCGACUAUAUUUGCUCAAUUUCUCGUAAAAAUCGAAAAAUUUGGGUCCCGCCACGAAAAUCGCACUUUAAAGGCGCAAGCGUUUUUCCAAUCAGGAAGACAAUACAAAAUUCGAUUUUUCCGUAAAAUUCUACAUCUGAAUACGUUUUUCCUGGGCGUCUAGCGGUAACUUGAAGUUUUUGAGGUUUUGGGUCUCACCACGAAGUUUUCCCGGGUUACUGUAGCCUGACAAUUUCGUGGCGAGACCCAAAAUUCUCUAAUUUAACGCUAAAAACUCAGAAAAAACUACCCGACCCAGAAUUUGACGCGGAAUUCGAAUUUCGUACUAAUUUUCCUAUUUGAAUACCCUCCUAUGUGCCUUUAAAUUUUGGGAUUUCGUGGCGGGACCCAAUUUUUUCUAAAUACAGGGAAUAUAGCCGAUAUGGGUGUCAUUUAAAAGCCCUGAACGAGAUGAUUUCCAAUUUUUGAACUAAAAAUUUGACGGAAUUUAAGUUUUUCGGAAAAUUAAAAAUUUUUGAAAAAAAAUAGUUUCGAAAAAAAAAUUUUUUUUUUUAGUUUUUUUUCUCUAACUCAUGCUUUUGCUAAUCUAUUGUGUGCUGCUAAUCUUAACCCAAGCUUCACCUAAAUUUCCACCUAAUACUCCAAAAUUUCACCAAUUUUCUCUUCCAGAAGCGAGUCAUUGACGAGUUCUUCUGCCUGACCCGAGCUCUUGCGUGCUCCCAUCCUUAUGAGGUGGCAAAGGACCGUCUGAAGCAGAGAAUUGAUGCGAUGAGGACGAAAGUUGCCAAAUAUCAGCCGGUGCUCGAUAAGGAGUCGGGAAUUGUGAAGGAGCAGGGAAAUGUGCUCCGGCGGCUGCAGAGAAUUCGACAG